This 245-nucleotide ribosomal RNA is filed under the name uncultured Rhodospirillaceae bacterium. RNAcentral describes it as "partial 16S ribosomal RNA". It matches the Rfam family "Bacterial small subunit ribosomal RNA", at positions 524 to 767 of the family's 1533-position model. The record is from RNAcentral. Lineage: Bacteria; Pseudomonadati; Pseudomonadota; Alphaproteobacteria; Rhodospirillales; Rhodospirillaceae.
UACGGAGGGGGCUAGCGUUGUUCGGAAUUACUGGGCGUAAAGGGCGCGUAGGCGGUUCGGUCAGUCAGGCGUGAAAGCCCCGGGCUUAACCUGGGAACUGCGCUUGAUACUGCACGAACUAGAGUCCGAGAGAGGGUGGUGGAAUUUCCAGUGUAGAGGUGAAAUUCGUAGAUAUUGGAAGGAACACCAGUGGCGAAGGCGGCCACCUGGCUCGGUACUGACGCUGAGGCGCGAAAGCGUGGGGA